Molecule: ribosomal RNA, 315 nt
Filed under: uncultured eukaryote
Lineage: Eukaryota
Description: partial 18S ribosomal RNA
Rfam family: Eukaryotic small subunit ribosomal RNA
Source: RNAcentral
CCCCUAGAUGUUCUGGGCCGCACGCGCGCUACACUGACCAGUGCAACAAGCAUCCGUCCUUGGCCGACAGGCCCGGGCAAUCUUUGAACGCUGGUCGUGAUGGGGAUAGACUUUUGCAAUUUUUGGUCUUCAACGAGGAAUUCCUAGUAAACGCAAGUCAUCAACUUGCAUUGAUUACGUCCCUGCCCUUUGUACACACCGCCCGUCGCACCUACCGAUUGAAUGGUCCGGUGAAGCCUCCGGAUUGGCGCGCACCUCGGUGCCGCCGAGAAGUUGGCUAAACCUUACCAUUUAGAGGAAGGUGAAGUCGUANCA